Molecule: ribosomal RNA, 301 nt
Filed under: uncultured bacterium
Lineage: Bacteria
Description: partial 16S ribosomal RNA
Rfam family: Bacterial small subunit ribosomal RNA
Source: RNAcentral
CAGCAGCCGCGGGAAAACGUAGGUGGCAAGCGUUGUCCGGAAUUAUUGGGCGUAAAGCGCGCGCAGGUGGUUUAAUAAGUCUGAUGUGAAAGCCCCCGGCUCAACCGGGGAGGGUCAUUGGAAACUGGGAAACUUGAGUGCAGAAGAGGAGAGUGGAAUUCCACGUGUAGCGGUGAAAUGCGUAGAGAUGUGGAGGAACACCAGUGGCGAAGGCGACUCUCUGGUCUGUAACUGACGCUGAGGAGCGAAAGCGUGGGGAGUGAACAGGAUUAGAUACCCGUGUAGUCCCUGUCUCUUAUAC